GCUCCCUGGCAAUGGGCAAAGGAAUACCCUGUUGGUGGUGUUCUUGUAUCAGUCAGGGACAGAGCAGAUGGCAGUCCUUUGUUCAUCCUAGCUUGAUGUCUGGCUUGGUAGCCAAAGCUAUCUUAUGCCUAGGACUCUUAA
This is a small nucleolar RNA of Arvicanthis niloticus (Nile rat), 141 nucleotides long. RefSeq annotates it as small nucleolar RNA SNORA48. NCBI's taxonomy places the organism in Eukaryota, Metazoa, Chordata, Mammalia, Rodentia, Muridae. The record is from RefSeq and is a predicted model, not a curated record.